AUGACAGCGGCGGCCCUGCGAGAUGGGACGUCGGCGAGAGAAAAUGCAACGAGAGGAAGGGCAGGCCAUGGAUCGGGCACAUGGAGCUUGAGGCGCCAGAGGAAGGAGGAGGCCAUGGGCACAAGGAACACCUUGGCGCUCACUGGACGGAGCUUGCAGGCGGCGAGGAUGGAGCCAUGCGGGCGGCGGGGCGGCGAGGUGCGCUGGCGAUGA
Molecule: ribosomal RNA, 213 nt
Filed under: Triticum aestivum (bread wheat)
Lineage: Eukaryota; Viridiplantae; Streptophyta; Magnoliopsida; Poales; Poaceae
Description: partial small subunit ribosomal RNA
Source: RNAcentral